CAAUAGCGUAUAUUAAAGUUGUUGCGGUUAAAAGCUCGUAGUUGGAUUUCUGCUGAGGACGACCGGUCCGCCCUCUGGGUGAGCAUCUGGUUCGGCCUUGCAUCUUCGUUGGUGAACGUAUCUGCACUUGACUGUGUGGUGCGGUGCCCAGGACUUUUACUUUGAGGAAAUUAGAGUGUUUCAAGCAGGCAUACGCCUUGAAUACAUUAGCAUGGAAUAAUAAGAUAGGACCUCGGUUCUAUUUUGUUGGUUUCUAGAGCUGAGGUAAUGAUUAAUAGGGAUAGUUGGGGCGAUUCGUAUUUAACUGUCAGAGGUGAAAUUCUUGGAUUUGUUAAAGACGGACUACUGC
RNAcentral lists this ribosomal RNA (349 nucleotides) under uncultured eukaryote. Its description in RNAcentral is "SSU rRNA". It matches the Rfam family "Eukaryotic small subunit ribosomal RNA", at positions 592 to 946 of the family's 1831-position model. The record is from RNAcentral.